Molecule: ribosomal RNA, 459 nt
Filed under: uncultured bacterium
Lineage: Bacteria
Description: bacterial SSU rRNA
Rfam family: Bacterial small subunit ribosomal RNA
Source: RNAcentral
AAAUACAUGCAAGUCAACUGAACUUUAGGUAGCAAGUAUUUAAAGGGAGGUGGCGCACGGGUGAGUAACACGUAGGUAAUCUGCCUUCAGGACUGGCAUAAUCUGCGAAAGCGGGACUAAAAUCAGAUGAUGCAGCGGCUCGACAUCGAGACAGUUGUUAAACCUUCGGGGCCUGAAGAUGAGCCUGCGUCUGAUUAGGUAGUUGGCGGGGUAAAAGCCCACCAAGCCUGCGAUCAGUAGCUGGUCUGAGAGGAUGAUCAGCCACACUGGAACUGAGACACGGUCCAGACUCCUACGGGAGGCAGCAGUAAGGAAUAUUGCUCAAUGGCCGAAAGGCUGAAGCAGCAACGCCGCGUGGAGGAUGAAAUACUUUAGUAUGUAAACUCCUGUAAGAGGGGAAAAAUAUACAGCUAUGCUGUGUUGAUUGUACCCUCAGAGUAAGCACCGGCUAACUACGUG